ACAGGAACUGGAUAUUAUGGGAUUAACUGCUCAGUGUCUCUACCUUCAUCAGUUACAUCUCCUACACCAACUGUUUCACCUUCAGUUGUUUUAAUAAAUACAGUAACACCUAGUCUUUUUCCUUCGUCCUCUUCGGAUGUUACAACAGCACCAGUUACAUUAAUAAUAGUAAUAAUAGCAAUAGUGAUUGGUCUCCUGCUGCUACUAAUAAUAGGAGGACUCGUUGGCUUUGCUGUUUAUUCUUAUGCUACAAAAGGGAAAAGGAAAACUUUCCCUCUCACAGAAAAAAUAGGAUGGAGAAAGAAGCCAGAAAUAGUUUGAAAAGACGUUUCAGCUAAUUAAAUGUUGCUAAAUCAAUUGGAGUAUAAUAUUUAAUUGUGCUAACAACAAAAGUGAUGAAAUGAUUAAUGAAAAGUGAUGUAAUGGCAAUAAUAA
Long non-coding RNA from Amphimedon queenslandica, 435 nucleotides. RefSeq lists it as uncharacterized. The transcript is spliced from 3 exons. NCBI's taxonomy places the organism in Eukaryota, Metazoa, Porifera, Demospongiae, Haplosclerida, Niphatidae. The record is from RefSeq and is a predicted model, not a curated record.